CCGCAUUAGCUAGUUGGUGAGGUAACGGCUCACCAAGGCGACGAUGCGUAGCCGACCUGAGAGGGUGAUCGGCCACACUGGAACUGAGACACGGCCCAGACUCCUACGGGAGGCAGCAGUAGGGAAUCUUCCGCAAUGGACGAAAGUCUGACGGAGCAACGCCGCGUGAGUGAUGAAGGUUUUCGGAUCGUAAAACUCUGUUGUUAGGGAAGAACAAAUA
RNAcentral lists this ribosomal RNA (220 nucleotides) under Bacillus sp. (in: firmicutes). Its description in RNAcentral is "Bacillus sp. (in: Bacteria) partial 16S ribosomal RNA". It matches the Rfam family "Bacterial small subunit ribosomal RNA", at positions 236 to 455 of the family's 1533-position model. The record is from RNAcentral. Lineage: Bacteria; Bacillati; Bacillota; Bacilli; Caryophanales; Bacillaceae.